Molecule: long non-coding RNA, 232 nt
Filed under: Lathyrus oleraceus (garden pea)
Lineage: Eukaryota; Viridiplantae; Streptophyta; Magnoliopsida; Fabales; Fabaceae
Description: Pisum sativum (pea) long non-coding RNA (PSAT_LNC007919)
Source: RNAcentral
UUGUCCAUAGGAUUGCAGAAGCAUACUUUUGGAUUAAUUAAUGGUUAUGAUGUGGUAUGUGCUAUUUUUGUUUUACUUUUUCCGAAAUGGGUCCUAGAAAACUCCUUGCCUCAAAGAAGCAAAAGACAUCUGAUGCAGGCCCUUCAUUUGUGCCUAGGCCCAAAGUUGGUAGUUAUAGUCAUGAUAAGUUUCUAGGACCAGAGCAGUAAGAGCGGUAUAGAGAGAUAGCUAG